GCAAGUCGAACGAGAGGACAGGAGCUUGCUCCUGGGCUCUAGUGGCAGACGGGUGAGUAACGCGUGGGCAAUCUACCUCCGAUUAUGGAAUACCUGGCCGAAAGGCCCGUUAAUACCAUAUAACAUCUUAGAUACUUCGGUAUCUUUGAUCAAAGUUGGGGUCCUCGAAAUGGGACCUGACGAUUGGAGAGGAGCUCGCGUCAGAUUAGCUAGUUGGUGGGGUAAUGGCCUACCAAGGCAACGAUCUGUAGCCGGCCUGAGAGGGUGAUCGGCCACACUGGAACUGAGACACGGUCCAGACUCCUACGGGAGGCAGCAGUGGGGAAUUUUGCGCAAUGGGGGAAACCCUGACGCAGCAACGCCGCGUGGGUGAAGAAGCAUCUUGGUGCGUAAAGCCCUGUCAACAGAGAACAAAGUGCAUCGGUUAAUACCCGGUGUAUUUGAUUGUAUCUGUGGAGGAGGCCCCGGCUAACUUCGUGCCAGCAGCCGCGGUAAUACGAGGGGGGCAAGCGUUAUUCGGAAUUAUUGGGCGUAAAG
RNAcentral lists this ribosomal RNA (537 nucleotides) under uncultured bacterium. RNAcentral's name for it is "bacterial SSU rRNA". It matches the Rfam family "Bacterial small subunit ribosomal RNA", at positions 57 to 565 of the family's 1533-position model. The record is from RNAcentral.